GUUUGCAACCACUCUUGUGUCUCUUUCUCCCUUUGGAUCGCAGCAACAGAUUGCACCCUGCACCAACCCAGACUCCAGGCUAUAAACUCCCGUCGCUGGGACUAACCUGUCUGCGGAAGUACCGCCCCGCUGCCGGCACCGAUUGGAGAUCAAUGAGAUCUCAGCCCCUGUCCUUGUCGCCCAACUUUCCGGACGGUGGGUGGUCAGGUAAACUGUCAAUUAGGUGACGUCUUCCAGAAGGACCCCCUCGGUAUCCUCUCCCCCCCCUACACCCACCCAAACACACACAGAACCCUCCUAUCUCAGAAUAUAGACCCCGAGCUGCCCGUAAAUGGCAGCAGAGCUAAUGAUCAGGGAAAGCGAGACAAAGCAAAUAUAUGGAGAAGGAGCAUAGAACAAAUGACACCGCGGAGGGAGGAGGGUCCAGCAGAACGAGGAAAGUUGAGGAAGCAAACCCAUCUGGGAAACUAGAUACCUCCGAACUACUGUCUGACGAGGGAGUCAUGGAAGAGUAACAGGUGGAAGAACAAUAGGACAGUGAUGAUGAAGAAAUUCUGUUACUAUAUCUCACACUGGCAGCCACCAUCUUUAGAAAGAGCAUGCAGAAUCCAGAGUGUUGCACCCACCUUCCUCAUCAAAGACCAUCUUCCCUUACUUGUGGCAAAUUUUCAGGCUGCAGGAUUGAAUUAUUCAGCCAAUAAAGAGUAUGGAGUGGAAGCAAGUCAUACCUGACUCUGAAGGAUUGUCAAAGCCAAAGAAAACAUGCUGCAGGCACAAGCAGGCUUUCCAAAGUCUCUGCAAUCAAGAAAGACCAUCCCGCAAGUCAUGCCUCAUCCACCUCGCAUGGAUGCUUCUGGGCAACAAAGCUGCUUCCUGCAUACCCCACCAGCUGACACCCGAGGAGGUAUUUUCUCUAGAUUAGUCGGAACAUCUCAUUACCACAUCUUUGCAACUGUCUAAGGCAUAGAAACUGAGAAAUAUAGAAACCAAGUGUAGGAAUAGGCCAUUCAGGUCCACCAUUCAAUAAGAUCAUGGCUGAUCAUCCAACUCAGUGUCCUGUUCCGCUUUCACCACAUAUCCUUUGUUACCAUCAGCCCGAAGGACUAUAUCUAAUUCAUUCUGGAAAACAUUCACUAUUUUGGCCUCAACCACUUUUUGUUGUAAUGCCACAGGCUCACCACUCCCUGAGUAAAGAUACAUGUCCUCAUCUCAGUCCUAAAUGCACUAUCCCAUAUCAUUAGAAUAUGACCCCUGAUUCUGGACUCCCCAGUCAUCCAGUGCAUCCUUUCUGCAUUUAUCCUGUCUAGUCCUGUUGGAAUUUUUUUAGGUUUCUAUGAGAUCCUCCCUCAUUCUUGUAAACUCCAGUGAUAAUAGUCCUAAAACAUCCAGUCUCUCUUUCAGACAUCAGUCCUGCCAUCCCAGGAAUCAGUCAGGAGGCAGUAACACCCCAGGUCACUGGCACUCAGAGGGCUCCAUGGUGUCAGCAAUUAAGGAUUUCAUACAAAUGCAUAAGCAGACACAGCAACGGAAAGUAGGCAUAUCAGGGUAGCAAGGCAAUGUAAGAAUAAGGCUGUAGGACUGGAGCAAGGCUGCUUAGGACCCUGUAUGAGCAUCUGGCUGCUUCUAUUGACAGUUUCCAUAGAGAAGCAGGUCCCAAGUCCUCAGAAUCUGCUGGAUAUACGUACACAGACGUUUGAGCUGUGGCAUUUUGAUAAGGCAAAUCAGGGCAAGACUUAUAUAGAUCAGGGUAAGGCCCUGGGUGUGUUGCCAAACAAAGAGACCUAAGGGUGCAGGUGCAUUGUUCCUUGAUAGUGGAGUUACAGGUAGACA
Chiloscyllium plagiosum (whitespotted bambooshark) is the source of this 1830-nucleotide non-coding RNA. The record is from RefSeq and is a predicted model, not a curated record. Lineage: Eukaryota; Metazoa; Chordata; Chondrichthyes; Orectolobiformes; Hemiscylliidae.